UACCGGAAAGGCAACAAACCUUUCUUCUACUCUGGCAUCCUGGGAGAACUUCCCUCCAGAAGGAACCGCAUGAGGUAGAGAGAGGGAGUGAGGUGUGGGGGGGGAAGACACUGCCGUGCAUAAUGAGGCUCUGGGAAGUCAUAUUAAAAUUGAAAAUCUGAUUUCUAAAGACGUAGUUCCUCCAUCUUCACAAAAAAAGUUCAAAACAUUAACAGAAUUCCAAUCAAAUGCAGCAAGAUAUGUGUUGGUUUAAUUUAAGUCUCAUAUUUUGGAAACCUUAUAGCCAUCUGUUAUUUAUUGGUGAGUGAAAAGUUAACCAAGAGAAUAUCUGUUCUGAUUGGCUGCGAGCUGACCUCUCUAUGAGACAAUCUUUGACCCCGGCUCAUUUCCUACAGCACAUCAUUUUCCCUGAUUAGAUUCAGGGAAUCUAUCUAAAUUGUUGAUAACAAAUACACACACAGUGCUGACAUAUCGCCAUCUCAAGUGUGACUGCAACACUUCUCAAUGGUGGUGAAAUGUAGGAAGGGAGGAAGCAGAGGGAGACAGGUUUUUUUGGGGUUGUUUGUUUUCUAAUUCUUGCUCUCUUUUAUGCCUUCUCUCUCUGUGUAACAAAGGUGCGCCUUUGCAACUCUGAAAUCCUGCCCGCAGCAGCUUUUAGAGGAUAUAUUCACUGGGUUUAACCUCUUAUUCUAAUUGAGUCGCCUGGCAACUAAAGUUGGCAAUUGAACAGAAUGGAUAUUUUCAGAUAUAUUUCCUACCAUUUAGACAGUGAUUGGUAGCUCAUGAAGUUUCACAAGCUUCAUAAGGUAGGAUGACUUAAACUAUGCAUAUGCAAACUCAAUUUAUAAUAGAGGAAUAUCCAAUAGUUCGGAUUCUGUUUGUCUUAUCAAUGCUGUUUCCUUAGGACUUGUCUAGUCCGUCUCUUCUUGUCAAAUCUCCUGAAAGGAGGUGUAUGUUUCAGGUUCCUGGUCUUUUUCGACAAUCACACUCCUACCUAUGUUCGACUACCUUCUCUGCACCUGGUGUGCAGGCCAUUGGUGGACCCCUGGGGCGGACAUCCCAGGAGACGCCCACCGGAGAUUCAUCCGGGAGUACCUGAAGCAUAGCGGACUCAAGGAGUGGAUUUAUCGAGGUUCCAUGCGUCUGGAGCACUCGGUCAACACGAAUAAGGUUCUGAAGAACACGGACAGGGCGGGAGAGACGAAGGCGGCUGAACCCAACAGCGCAUCCCACGAAAAUCCGCAGGAAGCAUGUCCCGGGUCUCGCUCCACUCCGACCACUCCACCCACUCCACCGGCCGCCAUGGGUGAACUACACUCCGCACCUCUGCAGCCCCGCCUGCCUGGAACUAGUCUGGCCCGACAUGCCUCUGGAAGCGUUGCGUAAGCGCAACCCGCUGAUGUACAAGUUCAGACGGGCCAAGAGGCAGCUCACCCCUGUCCCCAUGGCCGCGGUAUUGAGUCUGGACGGCUCGUAAACAGGGUGUCCCCGUGGAGACGAAGCCCACCUAUAGCGUAUACUGCUACGCCCCCUGCGGCCUGCCCCUGACCGCCAUCGCCCAGGUGGAGCAGUACCUGCAUGACACGCGCUGCGACUUCCUGUCCAUUGACGCUUUCAGCCUGGACCCGCACCUGGGUCACCGGUGCCAAACCCCUCCCCUUCAAGGUGUUCCUUCCCGACCUGUCCGGCGGCAGGGAGAACAAGGCGGUGCCCUGCAUCAACAAGCACAACGGCCAGCUUCCCCCCCAAGAUGAGCUACCGGAGCGGCCGCGACACCAGCCACGUCCGUCUCGACCCCAGCCCCGGCGCUGUGCCGUGGCUGGGGUCGACGGUUGUAGGGAAAGAGAGUCCUGCUCCUGUCGCCAGCUGACUACCCAGAGCACCGAUGGGAGAGCGAUGGAGGAGAACUCCAGCUACGCUCAAAAGAGACUCAACAAUGCAGUUGUUACUGGCGUGUAUGAGUGCAACGCCCAGUGUCUCUGUGACCCCCCGCACAUGCUCGCACCGGGUGGCACAGCAAGGCGUCCAGGUGAGGCUCCAGGUCUUCAUGACCCAGGACCGAGGCUGGGGCGUCCGCUGCUUGGAUGACAUUCCCGGGGAGACCUUUGUGUGUUCCUACAGCGCCUCUAAAACGACUAAAGCCAAGGACCCUUCAAAGAGAAAGAAACCUGCAUCUUCCAUGGUUCCCAUGACUACAUCCAGAUGUUUCUUUGAUGGCGAGGAACACGGCUGCAUCCUUGAUGAUAAUAUGGAGAGAAAUGUCGCCCGCUACCUCAAUGAUAGCUGCAACCCAAACUUGUUUAAACAAUAUGUCUUUAUGGACACACACGACCUCAGGUUUCCCUGGUUAACCUCUUUUACUAGCAAGCGGGUCAAAGCUGUCACAGAGUUGACCUGGGACUACAGAUCUGUCCAAAAAGAGGAUGUUGCUGAAACUCUUCUAGGUCAGCUGUGCUCCUGUGGGUCUAAAAACUGUUCUGGCCAACUAUAAUGCUUAGAGACUUGAUUCGAAUUUUAUAUAAAUGUGUUGAUUUGCAAUGGUGUGAAGUUUUUUAUAUUUAAAUAAAUAUCCCUCAACAUUCACAAUCUGAAUAGUUCACAUU
Gadus chalcogrammus (walleye pollock) is the source of this 2603-nucleotide RNA transcript. It is a transcript of the gene named histone-lysine N-methyltransferase SETDB1-B-like, with no coding region annotated. The record is from RefSeq and is a predicted model, not a curated record. NCBI's taxonomy places the organism in Eukaryota, Metazoa, Chordata, Actinopteri, Gadiformes, Gadidae. The transcript has 9 exons.